RNAcentral lists this ribosomal RNA (448 nucleotides) under uncultured bacterium. RNAcentral describes it as "partial 16S ribosomal RNA". It matches the Rfam family "Bacterial small subunit ribosomal RNA", at positions 29 to 523 of the family's 1533-position model. The record is from RNAcentral.
AACGAACGCUGGCGGCAUGCCUAACACAUGCAAGUCGAACGCCCCGCAAGGGGAGUGGCGAACGGGUGAGUAACGCGUGGGAACCUACCCAGCAGUUGGGGAUAACCGCGGGAAACUGCGGCUAAUACCGAAUACGUCCUAAGGGAGAAAGAUUUAUCGCUGUUGGAGGGGCCCGCGUCGGAUUAGCUAGUUGGUGAGGUAACGGCUCACCAAGGCGACGAUCCGUAGCUGGUCUGAGAGGAUGAGCAGCCACACUGGGACUUAGACACGGCCCAGACUCCUACGGGAGGCAGCAGUGGGGGAUAUUGGACAAUGGGGGCUACCCUGAUCCAGCAAUGCCGCGUGAGUGAUGAAGGCCUUAGGGUUGUAAAGCUCUUUUACCGGGGACGAUGAUGACGGUACCCGGAGAAUAAGCCCCGGCUAACUUCGUGCCAGCCGCCGCCGGUAA